UCCCCGUUAACCGGGGCAGUCCCUCUAGAGUUCCCGGCAUGAUCCGCUGGCAACUAGGGGCGAGGGUUGCGCUCGUUGCGGGACUUAACCCAACAUCUCACGACACGAGCUGACGACAGCCAUGCAGCACCUGUGUCGGCUCCUCUUGCGAGGUCGGUCCCCUUUCAGGGCCUGUCACCUGGUGUUCGAGCCUGGGUAAGGUUCUUCGCGUUGCAUCGAAUUAAUCCACAUGCUCCACCGCUUGUGCGGGCCCCCGUCAAUUCCUUUGAGUUUCACCCUUGCGAGCGUACUCCCCAGGUGGAGUGCUUAACGCGUUAGCUUAGACACUGCCGCUAAAGCGCGGCAGCAUCGAGCACUCAUCGUUUACGGCGUGGACUAC
RNAcentral lists this unclassified non-coding RNA (379 nucleotides) under uncultured bacterium. RNAcentral's name for it is "contains 16S-23S intergenic spacer region". The record is from RNAcentral.